AGAGUUUGAUCCUGGCUCAGGACGAACGCUGGCGGCGUGCUUAACACAUGCAAGUCGAGCGGAAAGGCCCUUCGGGGUACUCGAGCGGCGAACGGGUGAGUAACACGUGAGCAACCUGCCCCUAGCUCUGGGAUAGCUCCGGGAAACCGGGAUUAAUACCGGAUAUGACCAUGGCCGACAUCAGUCGUGGUGGAAAGUUU
RNAcentral lists this ribosomal RNA (200 nucleotides) under uncultured bacterium. RNAcentral describes it as "partial 16S ribosomal RNA". It matches the Rfam family "Bacterial small subunit ribosomal RNA", at positions 8 to 210 of the family's 1533-position model. The record is from RNAcentral.